NNNNNNNNUCUUUCUCUUCCUCCAUCUCCUCCUUCUCCUUUCCUUUCUUUAUCUCUCCCUCCCUUUUUUGUUCUUCUCUUUCCUUCCUUGUCGUCUCUCCCUCUCCUUCCCUCCCUCUUCUCCUUUUUAUCUCUCCCUUUUUUCUUCUCCUCAUGCCUUCCUUCCUUCCACCUCUGUCUUUCUUUCUUUCUUUCUUUCUUUCUUUCUUUCUUUCUUUCUUUCUUUCUUUCUUUCUUUUUUUUCCUCUUUAUCUCCCUCCCUCUUUCCUUUCUCUUCCUCCAUCUCCUCCUUCUCCUUUCCUUUCUUUAUCCCUCCCUCCCUUUUUUGUUCUUCUCUUUCCUUCCUUGUCGUCUCUCCCUCUCCUUCCUCCCUCUUCUCCUUUUUAUCUCUCCCUUUUUUCUUCUCCUCAUGCCUUCCUUNNNNNNNNNNCUUCCUUGUCGUCUCUCCCUCUCCUUCCUCCCUUCUCCUUUUUAUCUUUCCCUUUUUUCUUCUCCUCAUGCCUUCCUUCCUUCCACCUCUGCCUUUCUUUCUUUCUUUCUUUCUUUUUCUUUCUUUCUUUCUUCUUUCUUUCUUUUCUUUCUUUCUUUCUUUCUUUCUUUCUUUCUUUUUUCUUUUUUUUUUCUUUCUUUCUUUCUUUCUUUCUUUCUUUCUUUCUUUCUUUCUUUCUUUCUUUCUUUCCUUCUUUCUUUCUUUCCUCUUUAUCUCCCUCCCUCUUUCCUUUCUCUUCCUCCAUCUCCUCCUUCUCCUUUCCUUUCUUUAUCCCUCCCUCCCUUUUUUGUUCUUCUCUUUCCUUCCUUGUCAUCUCUCCCUCUCCUUCCCUCCCUCUUCUCCUUUUUAUCUCUCCCUUUUUUCUUCUCCUCAUGCCUUCCUUCCUUCCACCUCUGCCUUUCUUUCUUUCUCUUUCUUUCUUUCUCUUUCUUUCUUUCUUUUUCUUUCUUUUCUUUCUUUUUCUUUUUCUCUCUUUUCCCUUCCCUUCCUUCCCUUUUAUUUUUCCUUUUCCUUCCUUCCUUUCCUUUCUUUUUUCCUCCCUCUUCCUCCUCUUUUUUUGUUCUGCUUCCUUCUUUUCCUUUCCCUCCCUCUCCUCUGCUUCUUUCUUUCUUUCCUCCUUCCCUGCCUCUNNNNNNNNNNUUUUCCUUCCUUUCCUUUUUCCUCCCUCUCCUCUGCUUCUUUCUUUCCUUCCUUCCUCCCUCCCUCCUUCCCAAGAAAAACUGCCCCCCCCUCAUCCUCCAGAGGCAGCACCCCCACUUCUCACCUUGGCUUUCUUCUGAUAUACCAACUGGCUGUUCUGGAUGGAGAACCAGCGCCUGCAACAGAGACACAGCAGCUGAGCAGGGAAGGACGGCCCAGGAGAGCUUCCCUAGGCCAGAGCAGUCUACCUCACCGAGAACAAUUGAAAGGGCAGGCUCCCUUCAACCUCAAAGGUUAAAUAGGUAGAGGCAGCCCCUGACUUACGACCACAGUUAGGAGCAGAACUUUUCUUGUUAAGCAAGGCGAUUGUUAACGGGGAUGCUGAAAGUGUGGGAAAUUCUUUUUUCAGUGCCGUCCUAACUUCGGAUGGCCGCUAAACGAAUGGUCGGAAGUUGAGGACUACUUAUACUAAG
This 1601-nucleotide long non-coding RNA is filed under the name Notechis scutatus (mainland tiger snake). RNAcentral's name for it is "lncRNA (ENSNSUG00000001652.1)". Lineage: Eukaryota; Metazoa; Chordata; Lepidosauria; Squamata; Elapidae. The record is from RNAcentral.